This 465-nucleotide ribosomal RNA is filed under the name uncultured bacterium. RNAcentral describes it as "bacterial SSU rRNA". It matches the Rfam family "Bacterial small subunit ribosomal RNA", at positions 28 to 519 of the family's 1533-position model. The record is from RNAcentral.
GAUGAACGCUGGCGGCGUGCUUAACACAUGCAAGUCGAACGUGAACCAGUAGCAAUACUAGUGGCAGACGGGUGAGUAACGCGUAGGUAAUGUGCCUUCUUACUGGGGAUACCGUUCCGAAAGGAGCGUUAAUACCGAAUGUGACGGAGACGGGGCAUCCCGAUUUCGUUAAACUGUCAGGGUGAGAAGAGCAGCCUGCGUUCUAUCAGCUUGUUGGUGGGGUAAUGGCCUACCAAGGCUACGACGGAUAGCCGGUCUGAGAGGAUGAUCGGCCACACUGGGACUGAGACACGGCCCAGACUCCUACGGGAGGCAGCAGUGAGGAAUAUUGCGCAAUGGGCGAAAGCCUGACGCAGCGACGCCGCGUGAGGGAUGAAGGCCUUCGGUUGUAAACCUCUGUCAGUGGGAAGAGAACGGACGGUACCCACUGAGGAAGCUUCGGCUAACUACGUGCCAGCAGCCGCG